AAGUCUCGUUUAUUAGGUACAAAGCAGCUGCUUAUAAGCAAGCAAAGGCCGGAAGCUCUGAGUUCUGACGUCAGUAAGAAACCAUGGAGACGAGGCUGCAGGCUGGCCUCGUGACUAAGAAGAACGUGAAACUUAGAUAAGGGAAGCAGAAGCUUGAGCAACAAGAUCACAAGACGCUCAAGAUGGCCACUGCUCCCUACAGUUUCAGGCAUCACACAUGCAAGGUCCCCGGUUAACAGUUUUAGGUUUCCAAUGUGAAACGGUUUCUUUUUACCGUUUCAGGCAUCACAUAUGAAAGGGCUCCGGUUUACAGUUUUAGGCCUCACAAGUGAAACGGUUUGUUUAACAUUUCAGGCAUCACAAAUGCAAGGUCCCCGGUUUACAGUUUUAGGCCUCAAAUGUGAAACGGUUUCUUUUUACCGUUUCGGGCAUCACACAUGCAAGGGCUCCGGUUUACAGUUUUAGGUUUCAAAUGUGAAACGGUUUCUUUUUACCGUUUCGGGCAUCACACAUGCAAGCACCCCGAUUUACAGUUUUAGGCACAAAUGUGAAAUGGCCUCUGUUUACAGUUUCAGAAGUUACAUAUGAAAGGGUUCCAGUUCACAGUUUUAGGACUCACGGCCGGGCGUGGUGGCUCAUGCGUGUAAUCCAAGCACUUUGGAGGCCAAGGCGGUCGGAUCACCUGAGGUCGGGAGUUUCAGAGCAGCCUGACCAAUAGGGUGAAACCUCGUCUUUAAAAAAAAAGAAAGAAAUAAAAAUAAAUAAAUAUUUUUAAAAAGGACUCACAUGUGAAAAGGUUUCUGCUGGCUGGCGGGCAAUGAUGGCGGCGGGUGAUGGGGACGUGAAGCCAGGCACCCUGGGGAGUGGCAGCGAGAGCAGUAGCAACGCCAGCCACCAGAGCCCCGGUGGCGUGGGAGUGUCAGCGGAAGGGGGAGGCUGGGCGGCGGCCGCGGCAUUGGCUCUUCUGACCGGCGGGGGCGGGGACAUGCUGCUGAAUGUGGCGCUGGUGCUGCUGGGGGCCUACUGGGUGUGGGUGCGCUGGGGGGGGGCGGGGUCUGGGGUCUGGGUCCGGGGCGGGGCGGGCGAGGAGACACCCGCCGCCUCUCUGCCUCACAUUGGGAAGUGGGACUUCAGCUUGGAGCAGCUGGGCCUGUACGACGGGUCCCGCAACCCGCUCAUCCUGCUCUCGGUCAGUGGGAAAAGUCUUCCAUGUGACCAAAGGAAACAAGUUCUAAGGCCGGGCGGGUCCGUAUGGAAUAUUUGCUGGGAGGGAUGCCUCUAGAGGACUGGCAACAUUUUUGCCUAGAUAAACAUGCACUUAGAGAGGAAUAUGAUGAUCUCUCAGAUUUGAAUGCAGUACAAAUGGAGAGUGCUCGAGAAUGGGAAAUGCAGUUUAAAGAAAAAUAUGAUGAUGUAGGCAGACUCCUAAAACCAGGGGAAGAGUCAUCAGAAUAUACAGAUGAGGACGAUACCAAGGAUCACAAUAAACAGGAUUGAACUUCGUAAACAACCAAAGUCAGGGGCCUUCAGAACUGCAAUUCUUACUCCCUUUCACAGAAUGUCCAGCAUCUUUGGAUUUGAGUUACCUGCUGCGAAAAACAUUCAACAAAUUGUGUACAAGAGAAAUGAAUCUCACUAUGAAGAUUUGAAUUCUAGACAUUAUUUAUGCUGCCAAUUCAUUUGUUGCAGUUGUUUGUAAUGUCUAGUGGGGCUUCAUCAUCCUGAAAAGAAAGAGACAGGGAUUUUUUUGAAGAGCAACAAAGUCACAAGAUUAUUUCUUUUCUUUCCUUCCGUUUUUCCUUCUUUCCUUCCUUCCCUUCUCUUUCUUGUUGAAAUAUAUUGAAGACAACCAGAUGUGUAUCUGCUACUCAAGUGUACAAAUCUCCUCAAGAAACAUCAAGGGACUCCUAUGUCACAUACUGUGUUUUUCUUUUGCCAGUGGUGGGGGAGGAGACCUGAGCAGGGGAGGCGGCGGGGAUACACAACAAUUUGAGUAGUUUAGGCUGCUGAAACAUUAAAAUGUGAAUUCCCAAGCUUUCUUUUCGGCUUUGUCAGGGAAAAGGAAAAUAUCUUUAUUUCUAAGAAAUCUUUGGAAAUUAAGAGAAGGAAUUUCAAGUGGGUUUUAGUCAGAACUGGCUCCCCAGUAGAAAGAUCAUUUGAAACCAGUUUUUAUCCCUUCUCUUUCCUUCCCUUCUUCCCCUCAAUCAAAUCGAUAUUAAUUGUGCCUUAUUUCACUUAACAUAGACUUGAAUUAUUUUUCGGGAAAGCCCCUAUGAUGAAUUCAGAAGUCACUACAAGCAAGCAUUAAGACUGGAGUUGGAAUGCUCUGUUGACCACAACACCUUGAUAUCAUUCUGUAUAUAUAGAAUGUAAAAGGAAUAUUCAGUGUUAACUGCCAUAUAUUUAAUAUACACAAACUUAAUUAGCAUUGUAAUGGCCAAAUGCAUUCCCCCGUGCUUUUCUCUUUUCAAAGAAAUUGAAAACCAAAUCAAUUCUUAUCUCCUACAGCUGCCUAAUUUUAGGAGUCUGACCUUCCAUAUCUCACUGCUGUGGGUGCAUGGGACUGUGGAGUGGAUGUCUGUGUGAGUGUGUCGGAAUGUGUGUAAGAGUGCCUUGGAAGGGACUCUUUCUGCAGAUACUGAAAAUACAAGUACCAUUUCAAUAAAGUACCUACAGUAAACCAAAAUAAGCAUAGGCCGGGCGCGGAGGCUCACGCCUGUAAUCCCAGCACUUUAAGAGGCUGAGGCGGGCGGAUCACGAGGUCAAGAGAUCGAGACCAUCCUGGCCAUGGUGAAACCCCAUUUUAGUCUCUACUAAAAAUACAAAAAUUAGCCAGGUGUGGUGGCACGCAUCUGUGGUCCCAGCUACUCGGGAGGCUGAGGUGGAAGAAUCGCUUGAACCCAGGCGGCGGUUGCAGUGAGCCGAGAUUGCGCCACUGCACUGCAGCCUGGCGACAGAGUAAGAUUCCGUCUCAAAAACAAACAAACAAACAAACAAACAAGAAACAAAUAAGCUUGAGUUGGACUUUAUAUAACACACUGUAAGCCAGUGCAUUAUGAUGCAGUUGUAAGAUUGUGCGUUUGAUUCGAGAUAAGGAAAACCUUGGAAAUGAAAAGCAGACACUGGUUAACCAAGUUGUACCCAUUGUACCACAUUCAGCAUAACUUUAGGAAGAAAUUCCACUUUGUGGAACAUUCUCUGGAGAUCUGAGAUCAUUCCGGUAACAAUUGGUAUAUUAAAAUAUACAUAUUUUUACUUUAUAUUUUGGUGCCAACUGAUUAUACUAGAUUACAGCACUCCAGGUGGUAGUUAUUGAACACAAGACAUUAAGAUAUUAUACUGAUAGACAUUAAAUUAUUCUUAGGUUGAAAAUGCCCCACAUAUAUCAGUUAUUUGAUUUCAUUAUGAUUACUUAGGUUCUGGGUUGGGGACAAGUUCACUUAGACAAAUUUAACAAGCCGCCAGUCAAAGACUUCCGCUUUAUAGAUCUAUGCAGAAGCCAUCAAACAAGGCAUAACUUUUAACUGCAACAAGAGGCUAAAGUAUGUGAAAUACUACAUUCUACUUGGUCUUGCAGUGUUUUGUAGGAAACUUUCUUCAGCCAAAUCUUUGCUGAAGACUGGUUGUGGAGUGUUGGUAAAUGCUUUGUGUGUUUUUACGUAAAACAUUUUCUACACAAGACGUUUGUCAAAAAUAUAUGUCCUCUGGCGUAAACCGAUUAUAUAUGAAUCAUUUGAGCCUAAAGUCCAGUAAUAAACUAUAUUUGUGACUAGAGAAAUGCUAAAUAUACAUGCAGUAAAAAUCGUGUGGUCUGUUAAGAAAAAUGAGUAAUUUGUGUUUCGGAGGAGAAAUAAACCGUGCUCUGUAGAUAACUGCUCAAAAAAGAAAGAAAAGAAAAUGUUUCAGGAAUCACAUACGAAAGAAUUCUAGUGAACACUUUUAGGCCUCAAAUGUGAGACGGUUUCUUUUUACCGUUUCAGGCAUCACACAUGCAAGGUCUCUCGUUUAUAGUUGUAGGCACAAAUGGGAAACGAUUUCUGUUUACCGUUUCAGGCAUCACAUAUGAAAGGGCUCCGGUUUAGAGUUUUAGGCCUCAGGUUGUGAAACGGUUUCUGUUUACCGUUUCAGGCACCGCACAUGAAAGGUCCCCGGUUUACAGUUUU
This is a non-coding RNA of Callithrix jacchus (white-tufted-ear marmoset), 4163 nucleotides long. Lineage: Eukaryota; Metazoa; Chordata; Mammalia; Primates; Cebidae. The record is from RefSeq and is a predicted model, not a curated record.